RNAcentral lists this ribosomal RNA (254 nucleotides) under uncultured bacterium. RNAcentral's name for it is "partial 16S ribosomal RNA". It matches the Rfam family "Bacterial small subunit ribosomal RNA", at positions 524 to 776 of the family's 1533-position model. The record is from RNAcentral.
UACGAAGGGGGCUAGCGUUGUUCGGAAUUACUGGGCGUAAAGCGCACGUAGGCGGACAUUUAAGUCAGGGGUGAAAUCCCGGAGCUCAACUCCGGAACUGCCUUUGAUACUGGGGAUCUUGGAGUCCGGGAGAGGUGAGUGGAACUGCGAGUGUAGAGGUGAAAUUCGUAGAUAUUCGCAAGAACACCAGUGGCGAAGGCGGCUCACUGGCCCGGUACUGACGCUGAGGCACGAAAGCGUGGGGAGCGAACGGG